This 780-nucleotide non-coding RNA is filed under the name Hemerobius simulans. The record is from RNAcentral. Lineage: Eukaryota; Metazoa; Arthropoda; Insecta; Neuroptera; Hemerobiidae.
AAGUUUUAUUUUAGCUUAAAAUUUAUUUAAUUUAUAUUUUAUAUGUAAAUUUUUGUAUGAAUAAAAAUUAUUCUAGAAGAAUAAUUUAAUUAAUUUAUUCGCAGUAUUUAAUAUUAUAAAUAAAAGAAAUUUUGAUUUAGUAAUAAAUUUUAUUAUAGGAUAAAUUUGUGCCAGCAUCUGCGGUUAUACAAAUUAUAAAAAUAAAUUAUAUUAGUUUGUAGUUAAUUUGUUAUUAAUUAAAAUAAAAAUUAAAUUUUUAGGUUAAAUUUUAAAUUUAUUAUUAUUUUAAUUUUAAUUUAGUAAAGCUAUAAAAUUUUUAAUAUAAACUAGGAUUAGAUACCCUAUUAUAUAAAAUAUAAAAUUUAAAACUUAGGUAUUAAUAGUUAUGUUCUUUAAACUUAAAAAAUUUGGCGGUGUUUUAAUCUAUUUAGAGGAACCUGUUCCGUAAUUGAUAAUCCACGUUAAAUUUUACUAAAUUUUACUAAAUUUGUAUACCGUCGUUAUCAGAUUAUCUUAUAAGAGAAUAAUAUUCAUAAAUUUCAAUUAAAUUUUAUUUCAGAUCAAGGUGCAGUUUAUAAUUUAGAGGAAAUGGGUUACAAUAAAAAUAUUUUUGGAUAAAUUUUUGAAAUAAAAUUUUAAAAUUGGAUUUAAUAGUAAUUUUAAUUAAAUUAUUAAAAUGAUUUUAGUUCUAAAACAUGUACAUAUCGCCCGUCGCUCUUUCUUUUAAAGAAAGAUAAGUCGUAACAAAGUAGAUGUACUGGAAAGUGUAUCUAGAAUGAU